ACCCCGUUGGUGAAGUGGUCAUCAUGCUUGCCGUCCCAGCAAGCGGCUCGGGUUCCAAUCCCGAACGGUGUA
RNAcentral lists this transfer RNA (72 nucleotides) under Dendrothele bispora CBS 962.96. RNAcentral describes it as "tRNA-Gly". Lineage: Eukaryota; Fungi; Basidiomycota; Agaricomycetes; Agaricales. The record is from RNAcentral.